GAUGAACGCUGGCGGCGUGCUUAACACAUGCAAGUCGAACGAAGCAAUCAGACGGAAGUUUUCGGAUGGAAGACUGGUUGACUGAGUGGCGGACGGGUGAGUAACGCGUGGGUAACCUGCCUCAUACAGGGGGAUAACAGUUAGAAAUGACUGCUAAUACCGCAUAAGCGCACAGUAUCGCAUGAUACAGUGUGAAAAACUCCGGUGGUAUGAGAUGGACCCGCGUCUGAUUAGCUAGUUGGUAAGGUAACGGCUCACCAAGGCGACGAUCAGUAGCCGACCUGAGAGGGUGACCGGCCACAUUGGGACUGAGACACGGCCCAGACUCCUACGGGAGGCAGCAGUGAGGAAUAUUGGGCAAUGGGGGAAACCCUGACCCAGCAACGCCGCGUGAGGGAAGACGGUUUUCGGAUUGUAAACCUCUGUCCUCUGUGAAGAUAAUGACGGUAGCAGAGGAGGAAGCUCCGGCUAACUACGUGCCAGCAGCCGCAGUAAGAC
RNAcentral lists this ribosomal RNA (498 nucleotides) under uncultured bacterium. RNAcentral describes it as "bacterial SSU rRNA". It matches the Rfam family "Bacterial small subunit ribosomal RNA", at positions 28 to 526 of the family's 1533-position model. The record is from RNAcentral.